GCGAGCCGUAUGUGGUGAGAGUCGCACGUACGGUUACAGGGGGGUUUAACAUCUAUACAUAUAGUGUGGUGGCAUACCCCAU
Non-coding RNA from Picea glauca (white spruce), 82 nucleotides. NCBI's taxonomy places the organism in Eukaryota, Viridiplantae, Streptophyta, Pinopsida, Pinales, Pinaceae. The record is from Rfam.